This 690-nucleotide ribosomal RNA is filed under the name uncultured Acidobacteriota bacterium. RNAcentral describes it as "bacterial SSU rRNA". It matches the Rfam family "Bacterial small subunit ribosomal RNA", at positions 15 to 735 of the family's 1533-position model. Lineage: Bacteria; Pseudomonadati; Acidobacteriota. The record is from RNAcentral.
GAUCCUGGCUCAGAAUCAACGCUGGCGGCGUGCCUAACACAUGCAAGUCGCACGAGAAAGCGGGCUUCGGCCUGCAAGUAAAGUGGCGCACGGGUGAGUAACACGUGAAUGAUCUACCUCCGAGUGGGGAAUAACCUAGAGAAAUCUGGGCUAAUACCGCAUAACACUUACGAGUCAAAGCAGCAAUGCGCUUGGAGAGGAGUUCGCGGCAGAUUAGUUAGUUGGCAGGGUAAUGGCCUACCAAGACGAUGAUCUGUAUCCGGCCUGAGAGGGCGCACGGACACACUGGAACUGAAACACGGUCCAGACUCCUACGGGAGGCAGCAGUGGGGAAUUUUGCGCAAUGGGGGAAACCCUGACACAGCAACGCCGCGUGGAGGAUGAAAUCCCUUGGGAUGUAAACUCCUUUCGAUCGGGACGAUUAUGACGGUACCGGAAGAAGAAGCCCCGGCUAACUUCGUGCCAGCAGCCGCGGUAAUACGAGGGGGGCAAGCGUUGUUCGGAAUUAUUGGGCGUAAAGGGCGCGUAGGCGGUUUGACAAGUCUGAUGUGAAAUCUCUGGGCUCAACCCAGAGUCUGCAUUAGAAACUGUCGGGCUUGAGUAUGGGAGAGGUGAGUGGAAUUUCCGGUGUAGCGGUGAAAUGCGUAGAUAUCGGAAGGAACACCUGUGGCGAAAGCGGCUCACUGGACC